GUUCUGGGCUACACACGUGCUACAAUGGCCGGUACAGACGGACGCAAAGCCGCGAGGUGGAGCAAAUCCUAAAAAGCCGGUCUCAGUUCGGAUUGCAGGCUGCAAUUCGCCUGCAUGAAGUCGGAAUCGCUAGUAAUCGCAGGUCAGCAUACUGCGGUGAAUACCGGUUCCCGGGCCUU
This 179-nucleotide ribosomal RNA is filed under the name uncultured Bacillus sp. RNAcentral's name for it is "partial 16S ribosomal RNA". It matches the Rfam family "Bacterial small subunit ribosomal RNA", at positions 1206 to 1382 of the family's 1533-position model. Lineage: Bacteria; Bacillati; Bacillota; Bacilli; Caryophanales; Bacillaceae. The record is from RNAcentral.